Molecule: ribosomal RNA, 256 nt
Filed under: uncultured Desulfotomaculum sp.
Lineage: Bacteria; Bacillati; Bacillota; Clostridia; Eubacteriales; Desulfotomaculaceae
Description: partial 16S ribosomal RNA
Rfam family: Bacterial small subunit ribosomal RNA
Source: RNAcentral
UAAGGCCGAGCACUUUAGCCGAACUGCCGUUGACAAAACGGAGGAAGGCGGGGAUGACGUCAAAUCAUCAUGCCCUUUAUGUCCUGGGCUACACACGUGCUACAAUGGCCUGUACAAAGGGCAGCAAAGGGGCGACCCGGAGCAAAUCCCAAAAAACCGGCCUCAGUGCGGAUUGCAGUCUGCAACUCGACUGCAUGAAGUUGGAAUCGCUAGUAAUCGCAGACCAGCACGCUGCGGUGAAUAUGUUCUCGGGUUU